GGGCCUUUAGCUCAGUUGGUUAGAGCAACCGGCUCAUAACCGGUUUGUCCGGGGUUCGAGUCCCUGAAGGCCCACCA
Molecule: transfer RNA, 77 nt
Filed under: Bacillota bacterium
Lineage: Bacteria; Bacillati; Bacillota
Also listed under: 4 other names
Description: tRNA-Ile2(cat)
Rfam family: tRNA
About the family: Transfer RNA (tRNA) molecules are approximately 80 nucleotides in length. Their secondary structure includes four short double-helical elements and three loops (D, anti-codon, and T loops). Further hydrogen bonds mediate the characteristic L-shaped molecular structure. tRNAs have two regions of fundamental functional importance: the anti-codon, which is responsible for specific mRNA codon recognition, and the 3' end, to which the tRNAs corresponding amino acid is attached (by aminoacyl-tRNA synthetases). tRNAs cope with the degeneracy of the genetic code in two manners: having more than one tRNA (with a specific anti-codon) for a particular amino acid; and 'wobble' base-pairing, i.e. permitting non-standard base-pairing at the 3rd anti-codon position.
Source: RNAcentral